RNAcentral lists this long non-coding RNA (5206 nucleotides) under Ananas comosus (pineapple). RNAcentral describes it as "long non-coding RNA (ACOM_LNC044810)". Lineage: Eukaryota; Viridiplantae; Streptophyta; Magnoliopsida; Poales; Bromeliaceae. The record is from RNAcentral.
GGAUAGAGAAGAAGAAGGGUUUGGAGAAGAACCUUUGGGGGAGAAAUAGACUAUUUCAUUUUCAUUCAUAAUUCUGUUUGCCAUACAAUCUCGUACUUAUACUUCUCAGGAUUAAUACUGGAAUGGAAAUUACAUAAUCUCUUAGGACUAAACAGCAAAGUGACCAAAAAUGAGAUGCUGAUUGGUUGGGCUGCCAUUCGGGGUUGUUGGGCCACCUCUCUGGGCCUUCCGGUCCGGUAGUGCUAGUGAGUGGGUAAACGGGUGCCGGACUCCUCCUUCUCCGCAUCAUCCGCGACCCUGCGGGUUUUGGGCUCGCCUUUUUCCUCCGCUCCGAAGGCUUGAGGCUCCGACCCGCCUGCUCUCUUCUUCGCCCCAAAAACCAAGAUCCGUCGGACUUCUCCUCCAACCUCGGUCCUUCUUCUGCUCUCUCUCCGCUCCGAGGACACCCAAGCUCCUCCGCCCCGCCAAGGCUCCGCCCGGGCCACCCUUCGCCAGCCUGUUCAAGCUCGCCGGUCUGCUCCAUCAAGCGCGCUUUUCCUCACUUGCUGCGGCCAUUAUUUCUGCUCUUACUAUUGUAAAGUUAGACAUUUUUACUUCCUUCCCCUGCUAGCUAUUAGACUACUUAAUACUUCAGGUCAUUACAAUCCCUUCCCCUUAAGUUCAUCCUUGUCCUCAAGGAUGGAACUUUUUGAACUGGUUUUGGGAUCACCCAUUUGCUUUCCCAACAGCACAUUCUUCUUCUUCAAAAUUGCUUCUUUUAAGCCAUGUUUGAACCUCUGUUCUGUUUUCUCACCCCACUUUGCGCCGGUUUGAGGUGUUUCCCAUUGUGUCCACAUUCGCCUAACACCUCGGGUUGGCAGCACGGACGGCGGCUCCUGCUGGGGCGGGGGCUCACCCUUGGGCCUUCAGGCAGUCGCAACCGGCGCGCCGCCCGACUUGUUUGCUCUGAGAUGUGGCAAAGUGUAUACUGGCAAAAUGGGAGCUCUAGAAUUUUCUCCAUAGUCUUGCUGGAAUGCUUGUAGGGUAAUAAUUCUGGGUAUAUCUGUUCUUCUCCUUCAAGAACUCCCUCACUUCUUCUUUUAUCAAUAUGGUGCUUCAUUCCCUGACACCAAUUCGUAUUCGGUUGCUCCUUAAGAUUGCACUUGACCUGAUCACUUUGCUUGCACCAACUUACAAUCAAGUUCACUCUAGCAUUCUCAGAAGGGAUUGAGAUUGUAGGGAAAUAACCCAAUUCUCUAUUAGAUUCUUUCAGCUUGGCUUGCUCAUAAGCCAAUGACAGUGAGCUAGGGUGAGGCAUUUUAAUAAUUGGUGCUACCCCCCUCUUAUACCAACUAACAAGGGUUGACCUAAGGCAAACUCCUGUCGGACCAAGAAUUUGACUUAGCACUUGUACCUGCAAGUCUUGUGAUCUCUCUUGCUGCCUUAGCAUUGUUGCAAAUUCCACCUCUUGUUGAUCACUGAUUUGUUGUAUCUCAAAGCAUUUCUUGUUCACUCCCAACAGAACUGCGACAAAUUCUUUCUCUUGAGUAGAAUCUUUAACUUCUCUAAGUGGCUUUUGUAUGCAAGCAUGUAAUUCCUCCAUUAUUGCUCCAGAUCUAAUCCGAUAGUGCCGAGCUUCUAUUACUUGUACUCCCUGCUUGAUUAUCAUUGGUAGCUUGAUUGGGGUGACAAGCCUUUGCGAAAAUCUUUCUUCAAUGCCACGAGUGGUCACCUUGUUAGGUCCUGGAUCAAAAGGCACUUGCCUAUAUUCCUUCAUCCAAUCAAUUCUAAGCACUAUGUCAGAAUUUUCGAGCCUCAAUUCUCUCGAAUCAGCAAAGAAUUUGUGUCCUGGCUCCUUUCUUGCAAACUGAGGGCAAGAAUUUUCGCUUAGCACCUUGUGCUCAGGGUCUGCUAUCACUAUCAAGGGUGCAACCGUAGUAAACUCAACUCUGGUAGCUUUUGCAAUCCCGAAGUCAAUGAGGCUAUGCAGGUUUCGAUCAUCAUUCAAAAUUAAUUGGGUUUGGUUACCUGACUCCUUGAUACUCCUAGCCUCGUAGACAUUUCCUCCUUCUACUUGUUGUGGCUCACCUUCUUCUUCUUUUGCUGUCUCAGAUUCAGCACCCAUCUCAACCUUUUUCUGGGCUUGUAACACAUGCAGGGAGCUAUUCUUGCAUUGCUUUUCUGUAAUAUAUUCCUUUCUACAUUCUAGGCAAUGCCAUUGCAUCGUUGUUCGCUUACUUGUAGCAGUCGCUUCUUCAAAAUCAUAAUGAAUACUCUUUUUAGAUCUGCGAGCUGUACUUUCCGCGAUUUCUCAGGUACUCCCUACUUCUGCUGAAGUAGAAUGGCCAUCUGGGGCAUUGUGGGCAGGCCCGAGUAGAGGCGGCUGUGUUGCGAGUAGCUUCAGCAGCUCCUCGGGCUUGCUAGCACGCUCGCUCAAUGCGAUCUCUGGUCUUCUAUUGAUCUCCAACUGUAGAUAAUCACCACACUCUUGCUCCGACCCUGCACUUCCAGCUUCCUGUAUGUGAUCAUCCUCCUGCACCAUAAUUUCAGCCCUCUUUGCGGCUUCACAAUUCUGUUGGCAGCUCUCUACCGAAUUGGUUUGCUCGCAAGUACUAAAUUCUCGGAUUGGGUACCCCUCUUUUGCCGCUGUAAAUCUUUUACAAAUUGCAUCGGAAAACUCGCUCCAAUUCACCCUUGGUCGAUUAAAGAAAUAUGCUUGCUUCCAAAACCUUGCAUCACCCCCUAUGUGCCAGGACGCUACGCCUAUCCAUUGUUGCUCAGGAAUUUGGUAUCGGUCAAAAUACUGCUCGCAAUUUCGCAACCAUCCUUUUGGAUCUGUUCCGUUAAAGGUUGGGAUUUGCAACUUCAAGUAUGGUAUAUAUUGUUGCAGUGGUUGGUUUCUUGCAGGCCUAAUUGAUGUGGGUGUUAGCCUUUCCCUCUCAAUAGGAGCUAGUAUUUUACUUUCCAUAUCAUUCUGUUGAAUCACAAAAUUGCUACUCGUGGAAUUGUCUUGUACGACUUGUCGGCCUUCUCUGAUUACCAAAGGGGUGUUCACUGACUGUGAGUUCGGCCCUAAAGCUGUCAGCAAAUCCACUAGCUGUUGAUGCAUUCUAGCACUCUCUUGCCGCAACUUUUCAUAGCUCGUGGCUUCUUCUAUUCGCAAGGCUUCGUACUUCUGCUGCCAUGUUUGUCGUGAACUAUCCAUUUGGCUGAAGUUACUAUAUCAAGGUUGCGAAUGAUGCUAUCUUGAGGCUUAGAUGCUGCUCCUAUCCUUGGACAGUACUAAUUCUUCUCUUGGUUUUGAAUUUGAAUCGGUUUUCGCUCUUUUUUUUUUUUUUUUUUUUUUCCAAUUGUCGCCCUUGGACGCUACUGUGAUUGCUUCACUCUUGUUUGGUCUGAAAUUAUAGCUUGCUACAGUAACUACGCCGAGGUGCCAAUGAUGCUAAGCUGAGGCCCGGUGCGAUUCUAAUUCAAUAGAAUCCGCACUAGUCUUUACUACUACCUCGGUACAGCCUUAGUAUGUUUCCUCUGUUGCUAAUUGUGCUAGUUGGAUGAUAUUACCUUGUGCACGCCAAUUGCUUGGGGUAAUUCCCCACAGCUGCUGAGCCUCCAACGGUCUUGCUCCUGUUGAAUUCCUGCUGCCCACGGCCCUGGGACAGUGCCACUCUGAUACCAAUUGUAAUAUCCCUUAUGGCUUGGUUCAGGUUCUUGGUACUUCUGGUCGCGGAUCCGAGGUAACGUAAUCGGUAACCGAGGCUAGAGAGGUGAGGAAAUAGAGAUAGAAAUUGGGAUUGAGAUAGAGGGAAGAGAAAUAGAGGUAGAGAGAUAGAUAGAUGAGGAUUGAGAGGUGAGGGUUAGGAAAAAGAGUUGGGAUAGAGAUAAGGGAUAGAGAAGAAGAAGGGUUUGGAGAAGAACCUUUGGGGGAGAAAUAGACUAUUUCAUUUUCAUUCAUAAUUCUGUUUGCCAUACAAUCUCGUACUUAUACUUCUCAGGAUUAAUACUGGAAUGGAAAUUACAUAAUCUCUUAGGACUAAACAGCAAAGUGACCAAAAAUGAGAUGCUGAUUGGUUGUGCUGCCAUUCGGGGUUGUUGGGCCACCUCUCUGGGCCUUCCGGUCCGGUAGUGCUAGUGAGUGGGUAAACGGGUGCCGGACUCCUCCUUCUCCGCAUCAUCCGCGACCCUGCGGGUUUUGGGCUCGCCUUUUUCCUCCGCUCCGAAGGCUUGAGGCUCCGACCCGCCUGCUCUCUUCUUCGCCCCAAAAACCAAGAUCUGUCGGACUUCUCCUCCAACCUCGGUCCUUCUUCUGCUCUCUCUCCGCUCCGAGGACACCCAAGCUCCUCCGCCCCGCCAAGGCUCCGCCCGGGCCACCCUUCGCCAGCCUGUUCAAGCUCGCCGGUCUGCUCCAUCAAGCGCGCUUUUCCUCACUUGCUGCGGCCAUUAUUUCUGCUCUUACUAUUGUAAAGUUAGACAUUUUUACUUCCUUCCCCUGCUAGCUAUUAGACUACUUAAUACUUCAGGUCAUUACAGUCCCCUCCCCUUAAAAUCAUCCUUGUCCUCAAGGAUGGAACUUGUUGAACUGGUUUGGGGCUCCCAUUUGCUUCCCUCGCGGCACAUUCUUCUUCUUCAAAAUUGCUUAUUUUAAGCCAUAUUCUAAUAGCUGUUCUGUUUUCUUGCCCCCCCUUUGCGCCGGUGUGAGGCGUUUCCAACUGUGUCCACACUCGCCUAACACCUCAGGUUGGCAGCAUGGACGGCGGCUCCUGCUGGGGCGGGGCUUACCCGUGGGACCUUCAGGCAGUCGCAACCGGCGUGCCGCCCGACUUGUUUGCUCUGAGAUGUGGCAAAGUGUAUACUGGCAAAAUGGGAGCUCUGGAAUUUUCUCCAUAGUCUUGCUGGAAUGCUUGUAGGGUAAUAAUUCUGGGUAUAUUUGUUCUUCUCCUUCAAGAACUCCCUCACUUCUUCUUUUAUCAGUAUAGUGCUUCAUUCCCUGACACCAAUUUGUAUUCGGUUGCUUCUUAAGAUUGUGCUUGACCUGAUCACUUUGCUUGCACCAACUUACAAUCAAGUUCACUCUAGCAUUCUCAGAAGGGAUUGAGGUAUAGAUUGUAGGGAAAUAACCCAAUUCUCUAUUAGAUUCUUUCAGCUUGGCUUGCUCAUAAGCCAAUGACAGUGAGCUAGGGUGAGGCAUUUUAAUAAUUGGUGCUACCCCCCUCUUAUACCAACUAACAAG